RNAcentral lists this long non-coding RNA (229 nucleotides) under Brassica rapa (field mustard). RNAcentral's name for it is "long non-coding RNA (BRAP_LNC006543)". Lineage: Eukaryota; Viridiplantae; Streptophyta; Magnoliopsida; Brassicales; Brassicaceae. The record is from RNAcentral.
UGAUAUAUAUAUAGGACAGUUACCACUAAGCCAUUGAAACUUUCUUGGACACAUAUACAAGAACCACUAAGUAUGUAAUCACACUCUUAUGUACAUUUAGAAUAAUAUGAAUUCAACUUUCAAGACUCCGAUACUUUGUUUUGUAAAAAAAAAAUAAGUAAGUGACUAAGCUAAUAUAUUCUUUGAAAGUGUGAGAACGUUGACAAAUAUGAAAAAUCAUACAUUUUUG